CUCUGUUUAAAACACAUGCCAAAUACUUCACAAUUUUAACAAUUCUUUCCAGUGUGUAUUCUUUGAUGAACUUGAAGAUGUGUGCUCUGGCUAAAGAACUUUCUACAAAGUGAACAUUUGUAACGUUUCUCUCCAGUGUGUAUUCUUUGAUGAACUUGAAGAGUUGAGCUUUGGGUAAAGGACUUGCCACAUACUUUACAAUUGUAAGGUUUCUCUCCAGUGUGUAUUCUUUGAUGAACUUGAAGAUGAGAGCCUUUGAUAAAGGACUUGCCACAUAAUUUACAAUUGUAAGGUUUCUCUCCAGUGUGUAUUCUUUGAUGAACUUGAAGUUUAGAGCCUUGGGCAAAGGACUUG
Molecule: long non-coding RNA, 354 nt
Filed under: Cricetulus griseus (Chinese hamster)
Lineage: Eukaryota; Metazoa; Chordata; Mammalia; Rodentia; Cricetidae
Description: lncRNA (ENSCGRG00015042815.1)
Source: RNAcentral